This 78-nucleotide transfer RNA is filed under the name Candidatus Thorarchaeota archaeon. RNAcentral describes it as "tRNA-Thr". The record is from RNAcentral. Lineage: Archaea; Promethearchaeati; Candidatus Thorarchaeota.
GGGCCGGUAGAUCAGCUCGGUUGUUCCGUUCAUUCGUGAUGGAAGAGGUCGCGUGUUCGAAUCACGCCCGGUCCACCA